This 1261-nucleotide long non-coding RNA is filed under the name Homo sapiens (human). RNAcentral describes it as "HSALNT0074092". The record is from RNAcentral. Lineage: Eukaryota; Metazoa; Chordata; Mammalia; Primates; Hominidae.
AUGAAAACGAACUAAUACGUAUGUAUAGUAUGACUCCAUUUAUUUUAUUUUAUUUACUUACUAUUUUUGAGACAGAGUCUUGCUCUGUUGCCCAGCCUGGAGUGCAGUGGCAUGAUCUUGGCUUACUGCAACCUCCACCUCCUGGGUUCAAGUGACUCUUGUGCCUCAGCCUCCCAAGUAGCUGGGAUUACAGGCAUAUGCCACUACACCCAGCUAAUUUUUGUACUUUUAGUAGAGAUGGGGUUUUGCCAUGUUGGCCAGGCUGGUCUCGAACUCCUGGCCUCAAGUGAUCCACCCAACUCGGCCUCUCAAAGUGUUGGGAUUACAGGCAGUGAGCCACCAUGCCCGGCCUCCAUUUAUUUUAAAUACAACAUGAAUUAUUUAUAUCUGUAUAUACACAUGUAAAAACAUAAAAAAGGACUGGGAAGAUGACCAUUAAACAGCGCUGGUUAACUCUGGGAAGAAAAUGGAGGGAGACAUUUACAUUUUCACUGAAUACUACUGUAUAAUCCGAAUAUUUUAAAAUACAAUACUCACGUGUUAAUUUUUGUAUUAUUUUUAAAGGGUGAAGAAAUGUUAAAAAAAAAUGCACUUAUUGGGGGAAAAAGCGGAACAUUUUUCCAACUUAAGCUGAAAGCAUGUAAGAAAGAGAAACACGGCCCCUGACAUCAGGAUUAGGCCUGGCAAUCACAGCUAAGUCUUGGUGCUCUCCUGUUGAAUAAUCUCAUACAACAUUAGACAAGGACACUAUGACUUUGAUGGAUCAAAAUAAGACCACUCCAAAAUCAUGUCUGAACAGCGACAAAACCAUGAACAUUGUCCAAACCCCAAAAAUGCCUCAACAUCUUUAGCUACUGAGGCUUUAGCUUCCUUCUUUCUAGACAAAAUUUAUAUUAAGAAACCUAAACAUAUCAUAACACCUCUUGCUUUUUUUUCUUUUUUUCUUUUUUUUUUUUGAGACAGAGUCUCAUUCUGUCACCCAGGCUGGUGUGCAGCAGUGAGAUCUUGGCUCACUGCAAUCUCCAUCUACUGGGUCCAAGGGAUCCUCUGCCCCUCAGCCUCCCCAGUAGCUGGGACUACAGGUGUGUACCACCAUGCCAUUGCUCAGGCUGGUCUUGAACUCCUGGCCUCAAGCAAUUCGACCUGCCUUGGCCCCCCAAAGUGCUGGGAUUACAAGCAUGAGCCACUGCACCCAGCUUCAUAUGCCCUCUUCUUGACAGUAUCCAAUACAGAGCAAAGCCUACUUCCCUUUGAGUUCGAG